Molecule: ribosomal RNA, 449 nt
Filed under: uncultured bacterium
Lineage: Bacteria
Description: partial 16S ribosomal RNA
Rfam family: Bacterial small subunit ribosomal RNA
Source: RNAcentral
AGCGAACGCUGGCGGCAGGCUUAACACAUGCAAGUCGAACGCCCGGGCAACCGGGAGUGGCAGACGGGUGAGUAACACGUGGGAACGUACCCUUUGGUUCGGAAUAACUCAGGGAAACUUGAGCUAAUACCGGAUAAGCCCUUUUGGGGAAAGAUUUAUCGCCGAAGGAUCGGCCCGCGUCCGAUUAGCUAGUUGGUGAGGUAACGGCUCACCAAGGCGACGAUCGGUAGCUGGUCUGAGAGGAUGAUCAGCCACACUGGGACUGAGACACGGCCCAGACUCCUACGGGAGGCAGCAGUGGGGAAUAUUGGACAAUGGGGGCAACCCUGAUCCAGCCAUGCCGCGUGAGUGAUGAAGGCCCUAGGGUUGUAAAGCUCUUUUGGCGGGGACGAUAAUGACGGUACCCGCAGAAGAAGCCCCGGCUAACUUCGUGCCAGCCGCCGCGGUAA